RNAcentral lists this unclassified non-coding RNA (327 nucleotides) under soil metagenome. Its description in RNAcentral is "partial contains 5.8S ribosomal RNA, internal transcribed spacer 2, and large subunit ribosomal RNA". The stretch from base 1 to 120 matches the Rfam family "5.8S ribosomal RNA", at positions 35 to 154 of the family's 154-position model. The record is from RNAcentral.
GAUGAAGAACGCAGCGAAAUGCGAUAAGUAAUGCGAAUUGCAGAAUUCAGUGAAUCAUCGAAUCUUUGAACGCACAUUGCGCCCUUUGGUAUUCCGAAGGGCAUGCCUGUUCGAGCGUCAUUUCACCACUCAAGCCUGGCUUGGUAUUGGGCGCCGCGGUCGAUCCGCGCGCCUCAAAGUCUCCGGCUGAGCUGUCCGUCUCUAAGCGUUGUGAUUUCAUUAAUCGCUUCGGAGUGCGGGCGGCCGCGGCCGUUAAAUCUUUCACAAGGUUGACCUCGGAUCAGGUAGGGAUACCCGCUGAACUUAAGCAUAUCAAUAAGCGGAGGA